UCAAUAAACCACUGGGGAAGGAAAGGUUUUGGAGACUAUUAGUUCGUAAGGGAGUCUCUCCUAAAAGAGCCUUUAGGGUUUUUGUAGCUGCAACCCUGAGCCAACCUCGUCUGCUGGGUUCGGCCGCUGGCGUCGCACCAGUUUAUGAUAUCUAUCCUUUUGGGGCCUUUAGGGAAGUGUCUGAAAUAGAGGCUGCUCGGAUUUGAUUUUCUAAAUCCUCGGAUGCAGCUCUGGUUUACUGAGAAAUCAGAAUAAGGAAGUCAGCCCAAGAGCCCGCAGUUGCCGGAGAGCGUCCUGUCACUUGGAACGGUGAGGAAAGCAAGAAGAAACCAAGAGGAGAGCCUUCGACCAGCUCCCCUUCUCUUCCGGUUCCACCGCUCUGGGGACAGUAACCUCAAUUCCAGGGUACAAGCUGGAGAUGUAAACAGGAAAAUCCUCGGGCGGCCUCUCGCACCGCUGGGCGGGGCGGCUUGAUUCUUUGGAAGGGAGAGAAGUGGCAUGAGGCGGGGCGACAGGGGAUGGUCCCCGGCCGCAGCCCGCUGCCCAGCCGAAGGGCGACACUGGCGCCUGCACGCGGGAUUUAGGAGCUCAGAACCAGAUUCGAGGGUCAAAACUUCGAGGUUGUGGAGUGGAAACGUUUGUUUGGUAUUCUGAUUGAUGCAGAUUACUUGAACGGGGCAACUAAAACGGCAGCACGGGCAACCUUGCAGAAGUGCUAUCCACGAAUUGGGUGAAUUGUUUCUGUUCAGCUCCUUCCGCCGCUCGCCCACCUAAAGCAAACAACCUAACGGGUUCUGGCAGGGACGCACUGCAGAGCGGUAUGGCGAGCCUCGGAGCUGCCACUAAGGCUGCAGAGGUGAGAACCCUUUGCUUCGGACUCCGGAACUCAGCGCCUGUACCGGAUCUUGGAGAAAUGAAAGUUGGGAGAGUAGAGUGAAAUCGCCUGGGGCUCUGACUCCCAUCUGACUUGAAAUCUCGCUAGGACGUUUACACGUAAUAAAUAGGGUCUUUUACUCAAGCCACACAAAACUUUAGUAUUUAAAAACAAAUUCGUGCCCCCAGUGACGCGUCUCUCAUCCCCACUUCCACCCACCACCCUGGUCGUCACGGUUUAGGAAGAGAAGGAAGCAGCGGCUGGAGCACCAAGGUCCCGGGAGGCAAGUCCCCGUGCCCCACCUGCUCCCCCGGCUCUUUGCGCCUCUCAUCCCCGUUCCCUCGCGCUCUUUCGCCUCCUCCUCAGGAGUCCGCAUGCCAGACACCGGGCUGUCAAAAUGAUCCGGUCCACGCGGACUUUGAGAAAACAUGGAGGUUUUAGGACUCCUGAUUCCCCGUCCUCUGGGAGGCCGCCUGGCCCCACGCAGUCCCCACCACUCUCUCGGAGCCUCGGUCCAGGUAGCAAAAAGCUACUAUUCGGUUCACAAAAUCCUAGACCCUGCGGUCUCUGUCACUAGUGUGUAUCUGGACCAUACAUCCUGUCUCUGAGACGCCUUGGCUCACCAGCGCCCGGCUAGCUCAGUCGGUAGAGCAUGAGACUCUUAAUCUCAGGGUCGUGGGUUCGAGCCCCACGUUGGGCGCACGCGGUUAUUUUUCUAUUUCUAUUAAAUCCUCUUUUGGCAACCAACAA
This is a long non-coding RNA of Mirounga angustirostris (Northern elephant seal), 1624 nucleotides long. RefSeq lists it as uncharacterized. The transcript is spliced from 2 exons. Lineage: Eukaryota; Metazoa; Chordata; Mammalia; Carnivora; Phocidae. The record is from RefSeq and is a predicted model, not a curated record.